Molecule: ribosomal RNA, 389 nt
Filed under: uncultured bacterium
Lineage: Bacteria
Description: bacterial SSU rRNA
Rfam family: Bacterial small subunit ribosomal RNA
Source: RNAcentral
CAGUAGUUUACUACAGAAAAUGACUGAGCGGCGAACGGGUGAGUAACGCGUGAGCAAUCUACCUUAGUUACAGGGAUAGCCCGAGGAAACUCGGAUUAAUACCUGAUAUUCUUUAUAUUUCGCAUGAAAUUAAAAGGAAAGGUCAGCCGAACUAAGAUGAGCUCGCGUUCUAUCAGCUAGUUGGUGAGGUAAAAGCUUACCAAGGCUACGACGGAUAGCUGGUCUGAGAGGACGAUCAGCCACACUGGGACUGAGACACGGCCCAGACUCCUACGGGAGGCUGCAGCAGGGAAUAUUGCGCAAUGAGCGAAAGCUUGACGCAGCGACACCGCGUGUGGGAUGACGGAUCUAGGUUUGUAAACCACUUUCAGGAGGGAAGAAAAUGACGG